Stegodyphus dumicola is the source of this 831-nucleotide long non-coding RNA. RefSeq lists it as uncharacterized. The record is from RefSeq and is a predicted model, not a curated record. NCBI's taxonomy places the organism in Eukaryota, Metazoa, Arthropoda, Arachnida, Araneae, Eresidae.
UGAAAAACUCUGUUUACCACUCACGCACUAAACACAUAGGCAUUAGACAUAAGACACCAUUUCAUACAUGAAAUUUAUGACGGUAAUGAAACAGGAGUUAAAUAUGUGCCAACAGAGAAAAUGCCUGCUGAUGUGCUGACAAAAACAUUGACUACUUCGAAACAUUCUUAGUGCUGUAAAUUAAUUAGAAUAACUGUAAAUGAUUAAUGUUUAUUUUUUUUUCAGCCGCCAAACAUCGAAAGGGGGGAUUGUUGUACCAUAAAUUAUAAUACGACGUUUAGCUUGAGAACGCUUCUCCUACCGGAUGUGCAGUUUGCAUUUAUCUUAGCGGUGAUGGCAUAACUCUUUUGUAUAUAACUACUGGAAAUGUUGUUUACUCUACUGAAUAUACAGAAAUAUAUUUUGGAGAAACCUAGCAGCUGCACUGCACGAAGAAUUUCCAGAAUUGCACGCUACAAGUAUGUGUUAUGCCGAUCCAGCGUAGAAUAUUGGCAAGACGAACAACUAUCAUCUUUUGAAAAUACGGAUCAAGUGCAUAAAAUUUAUUUACAGACUUCCAGUGACGGGCCAAAUUUAAGAAAGCUGCUACUAUAAUGAAAGCUUCGUAUAAAUAAUUACAAAUGUUAACAAUUAUCUUAUCCUAAUUCUAAAAGAAUAUUCCUACAGUGUGCUAAAUAACGAAAUACUGAUGUUAUCACUACAACUAAAUGAUAUUUUUGCAAGAAAUAAAUAAGCAUCGCUGGUUCAUUGUGUAAAACUGUUUUAUUCGUUAUAAUUGUGAUUUUUAUUAUGAUAUAAAGAUUGUUUAAUAUGUUGAAAAUAAAGAUACCU